CCUACGGGAGGCAGCAGUGGGGAAUUUUGGACAAUGGGCGAAAGCCUGAUCCAGCAAUGCCGCGUGCAGGAAGAAGGCCUUCGGGUUGUAAACUGCUUUUGUACGGAACGAAACGGUCUGCUUUAAUACAGUGGGCUAAUGACGGUACCGUAAGAAUAAGCACCGGCUAACUACGUGCCAGCAGCCGCGGUAAUACGUAGGGUGCGAGCGUUAAUCGGAAUUACUGGGCGUAAAGCGUGCGCAGGCGGUUAUAUAAGACAGUUGUGAAAUCCCCGGGCUCAACCUGGGAAUUGCAUCUGUGACUGUAUAGCUAGAGUACGGUAGAGGGGGAUGGAAUUCCGCGUGUAGCAGUGAAAUGCGUAGAUAUGCGGAGGAACACCGAUGGCGAAGGCAAUCCCCUGGACCUGUACUGACGCUCAUGCACGAAAGCGUGGGGAGCAAACAGGAUUAGAUACCCUGGUAGUCCACGCCCUAAACGAUGUCAACUGGUUGUUGGGUGCAUUAGUACUCAGUAACGAAGCUAACGCGUGAAGUUGACCGCCUGGGGNGGACGGUCCGGCGAGUUAGAACGUACGAAAGAAGUUAGAGGCGNGAGAGNGCGACGGACGACGACGAGGGAGGAGG
Molecule: ribosomal RNA, 624 nt
Filed under: uncultured bacterium
Lineage: Bacteria
Description: bacterial SSU rRNA
Rfam family: Bacterial small subunit ribosomal RNA (bases 1-542)
Source: RNAcentral